ACGGCUCAGUAACACGUGGCUAAUCUGCCCUUGGGACCGGAAUACCCCCGGGAAACUGGGGCUAAUUCUCGAUAGGUGAAGAACUCUGGAAUGAGUCUUUGCCCAAAAGAUGCUAGAGUUAUGCUCUUUGGCAUCGCCCAAGGAUGAGGCCGCGACCGAUCAGGUUGUUGGUGAGGUAAUGGCUCACCAAGCCUUUUACCGGUGCGGGCCGUGAGAGCGGGAGCCCGGAGAUGGGCACUGAGACAAGGGCCCAGGCCCUACGGGGCGCAGCAGUCGCGAAAACUUUGCAAUACACGAAAGUGUGACAGGGCUAUCCCGAGUGCCAUCCGCUGAGGAAGGCUUUUACCCAGUCUAGAACGCUGGGGGAAUAAGGAGAGGGCAAGUCUGGUGUCAGCCGCCGCGGUAAUACCAGCUCUCCGAGUGGUGUGGAUGUUUAUUGGGCCUAAAGCAUCCGUAGCUGGCUAAGUUAGUCCCUUGUUAAAUCCACCGAAUUAAUCGUUGGAUUGCGGGGGAUACUGCUUGGCUAGGGGACGAGAGAGGCAGACGGUAUUUCCGGGGUAGGGGUGAAAUCCUAUAAUCCCGGGAAGACCACCAGUGGCGAAGGCUGUCUGCUAGAACGCGCCCGACGGUGAGGGAUGAAAGCUGGGAGAGCGAACCGGAUUAGAUACCCGGGUAGUCCCAGCUGUAAACGAUGCAGGCUAGGUGUUUGGACGGCCACGUGCCGUUCUAGUGCCGCAGGGAAGCUGUUAAGCCUGCCGCCUGGGGAGUACGAUCGCAAGAUUGAAACUUAAAGGAAUUGGCGGGGGAGCAC
This 811-nucleotide ribosomal RNA is filed under the name uncultured archaeon. RNAcentral describes it as "bacterial SSU rRNA". It matches the Rfam family "Archaeal small subunit ribosomal RNA", at positions 85 to 879 of the family's 1478-position model. The record is from RNAcentral.